Molecule: ribosomal RNA, 705 nt
Filed under: Lampyridae sp. UPOL RK0101
Lineage: Eukaryota; Metazoa; Arthropoda; Insecta; Coleoptera; Lampyridae
Description: eukaryotic LSU rRNA
Rfam family: Eukaryotic large subunit ribosomal RNA
Source: RNAcentral
GGAGUCCAACGUGCGCGGGAGUAAAUGGGAGCAAACUACUAAACCCAAAGGCGAAGCGAAAGCGAAGGACGACUGGGCGCCGUCCUCCUCUCGGGGUGGAGGUUGGCGUCCCGCAUCGACCGUAUGGAGGAUGUGCCGCCGUUUUAAACGAUCCAGCGGCCCCGCAUUCCCGAGGCGUCUCCGCGAGGCACCGUCGCGCUCGGCGUUCGCUCGUCGUCGCGUCGGUGCCGGAGGCGCAUAUAGCGCGCUCGCUGGGACCCGAAAGAUGGUGAACUAUGCCUGGUCAGGACGAAGUCAGGAGAAACCCUGAUGGAGGUCCGCAGCGAUUCUGAUGUGCAAAUCGAUCGUCAGAACUGGGUAUAGGGGCGAAAGACCAAUCGAACCAUCUAGUAGCUGGUUCCCUCCGAAGUUUCCCUAAGGAUAGCUGGCGCUCGCUCUCAAUGCGACAUAGAGUCUCAUGCGGUAAAGCGAAUCGGGGUCGAAACGACCUCAACCUAUUCUCAAACUUUAAAUGUGUGAGAUCUCCGGCUUGCCCGACACGCGAAGCCGCGAGAUCGGAUCUAGAGUGCCAAGUGGGCCAUUUUUGGUUAGCAGAACUGGCGCUGUGGGAUGAACCAAACGCGAAGUUAAAGCGUCCAAAUCGACGCUCAUUGUAAACCAGAAAAGGCGUUGGUAACUCAGGACAGCAGGACGGUGACCCUGGAA